Molecule: long non-coding RNA, 356 nt
Organism: Oncorhynchus gorbuscha (pink salmon)
Lineage: Eukaryota; Metazoa; Chordata; Actinopteri; Salmoniformes; Salmonidae
Exons: 3
Source: RefSeq, a predicted model, not a curated record
CAACGACUACAGUGUUAUCACUUCUCGUCUUCAUGAAAAAGUACAUUUUACAUUUUGUCUCAUCCGCCAUUCAGGUCAAUCCCAGCAAUCUGUGUCACGCACCAUGGGCAGAUGUAUCCAAGUUUGCAAGCUGGUCCUAUGGGUUGCAGUUUGUGUGACCUUCAUUGUAUUGGGCCAUUUUUGGACCUUCUCUGUAUUCCAACCCAACUACGCACGGAAAGAGAUCAUCGACAACACAGUAUACUGCAACAAAUCUCUAUACCUCUUUGUGGCCUCUACCACCAUCAUAUUGGACAUUAUUAUAUGUACAGUGCCUUGCGAAAGUAUUCGGCCCCCUUGAACUUUGCAACCUUUUG